Molecule: RNA transcript, 3229 nt
Organism: Sapajus apella (tufted capuchin)
Lineage: Eukaryota; Metazoa; Chordata; Mammalia; Primates; Cebidae
Gene: DNAAF2
Gene name: dynein axonemal assembly factor 2
Exons: 4
Source: RefSeq, a predicted model, not a curated record
GGCUAUGGGACCUUCGUCCAGCUUCUCAGAUCCCAUCUUUCUGUUUGUGAAAUGGGGAUGAGGUUUAUCUUCAAGUAGUGUGAACAAUGAAUGGGAUAAUGUACAUACUGCUGGAAAUUAUGACAGUUACUACAAUAGUUAUUCUGCAGAAAUAACUGUACCAUGGCACAGGAAUAUAAAACAGAAAGCACGGUGUUGGGUUGGUUUGAAGAAACUAAGAGGCUAUUUCUGGCAUUUCCACUAUUCCACCAUGAUUUCUACCCCUCCUCCCGAAUGUUAGUGGUGUCCCUAUGGCAACAAGCACGCGCUACUCAAGGCUCAAUUUUCCAGCCGUUACCGACACUCUCCGCUGCCCAGAGAUUGUGAGGCGCAUCCCUCAACCCAGUUUCAGGCUGAUCCCCCUUGGCCCAAGGACGAGGAGCCACAGGGCAGUAUGGCCAAAGCGGCGGCCUCCUCGUCGCUGGAGGACUUGGACCUGAGCGGAGAGGAGGUCCAGCGACUCACCUCCGCCUUCCAGGACCCGGAGUUCCGGCGAAUGUUCUCCCAGUACGCCGAGGAACUCACCGACCCCGAGAACCGGCGACUCUACGAGGCGGAGAUCACCAUGCUGGAGCGUGAGCGAGGGGUGGAGGUGCGGUUCGUGCACCCAGAGCCGGGCUAUGUGCUGCGCACCAGCCUGGACGGAGCGCGGCGCUGCUUCGUGAACGUCUGCAGCAACGCGCUGGUUGGCGCACCCAGCAGCCGGCCCGGCUCCAGGGGCGACCAGGGCGCAGCGCCUGGCAGCCACUGGUCCCUGCCUUACAGCCUGGCGCCCGGCCGCGAGUACGCGGGGCGCAGUAGAACCCGCUACAUGGUCUACGACGUGGUCUUCCAUCCAGACGCGCUCGCACUGGCCCGGCGACACGAGGGCUUCCGUCAGAUGCUGGACACCACGGCCCUAGAGGCAGUCGAGAAGCAGUUCGGCGUGAAGCUAGACCGCAGGAAUGCCAAGACCCUGAAGGCCAAAUAUAAGGGGACCCGGGAGGCUGCGGUGCUACGCACGCCCCUGCCCGGGGGUAUCCCAGCCAGGCCCGAAGGGGAGCUGAAGGGUCCUCUCCCGGACUUCCCCUACCCCUACCAGUACCCGGCAGCCGCCGGAAACUCUGCAGCCCCCGGGCCCCGGGCGCCCUCCCCUCCGGAAGCGGCUUUGCGGCCCGCUCCCACCGAGCCUCGCUACAGCGUGGUGCAGCGCCACCACGUGGACCUCCAGGAUUACCGCUGCUCCCGGGACUCAGUCCCGAGCCCAGUGCCCCACGAGCUGGUGGUCACGAUCGAACUGCCGUUGUUGCGCUCAGCGGAGCAGGCGGCGCUGGAGGUGACAGGAAAGCUGCUGUGCCUCGACUCAACGAAACCCGACUACCGGCUGCGGCUCUCGCUCCCGUACCCAGUGGACGACGGCCGCGGCACGGCACAGUUUAACAAGGCUCGGCGGCAGCUGGUGGUGACGCUGCCAGUGGUGCUGCCGGCCGCGCGCCGGGAGCCCACAGUCACCGCCGCGGCCGCGCCGGAAGAGUCCGCGGGUCUGUCCGGAACUGACGGCCAGGCCUGCGCUUCCGCUCGCGCAGCGGAGGCGGGACCCGCGGGAGGUCGCGCCGAGGACCGAGGCCACGAUACCUGCGUGGCUGUGACUGCAGGCUCUGGGGUCACCACCCUGGGGGACCCCGAGGUGGCGCCCCAGCUGGCCGGCGCUGGAGAAGAGCAUGUCCCCGAGCUGGGGGAGCAGGACUUGAGCUGGCACGCGGGGUCGCCGCCGGGCAGCGGAGAGAAGCCAUCUCCCGGAGGAGAGAGCUCACCUGGUCGUGGAGGCUCCGCUUGUAUGUCCUUUCCCGGCCAAGCCUGGGAGUCUUCUGCGGGAAGAGAGAGCGCGCGCGGAAAUUGCAGUGUGGAGACGCGCGUGGAGUCGGAGGAAAAGGGAGGUGAGCGCUCCGCCCGCGCCAUGGGUGGUCCCAGAACUGAGAGCCGGGAACCUUUGUGUCCUCCGUUACUGUGUAAUCAGGACGAAGAAACCCUGACUCUGGUCAUUCAAGUGCCUCGGAUCCAGCCGCAAAGUCUUCAAGGAGAUCUGAGUCCCCUCUGGUACAAAUUACGCUUCUCCACACAAGAUUUAGUUUAUUCCUUCUUUUUGCAAUUUGCUCCAGAGAAUAAAUUGAGUACCAUAGAACCUGUGAUUAGCGUUUCUUCAAACAAUGCAGUGAUAGAACUGGCAAAAUCUCCAGAGAGCCAUGGACAUUGGAGAGAGUGGUAUUAUGGUGUAAACAACGAUUCUUUGGAGGAAAGGUUAUUUGUCAAUGAAGAAAAUGUUAAUGAGUUUCUUGAAGAAGUCCUGAGCGCUCCAUUCAAACAGUCUAUGUCCUCAACCCCACCAUUAAUUGAAGUUCUUCAGAUUACAGAUAAUAGGAUUCAAAUUAAUGCAAAGUUGCAAGAAUGUAGUAACUCUGAUCAGCUACAAGCAAAGGAAGAAAGCGUAAAUGAAGAAAGUCAUCUAACUGAAAAGGAAUAUAUAGAACAUUGUAAAACCUCUACAACUAAUUCUGAUUCAUCUGUAGCAGUUAAAGCACUACAAAUAGAUAGCUUUGGUUCAGUUACAUGCUUUCAACAAGAAUCUCUUGAUGUUUCUCAAAUGAUACUUGGAAAAGCUCAGCAACCUGAGUCAAAAAUGCAAUCUGAAUUUAUAAAAGAAAAAAGUGCUACUUGCUCACGUGAGGAAAAAGGUAACUUAAACGAGCUAGUAAUAACUGAAGAGAAAGAAAUAGAUGGAAAUCACCUAUCUUCAUUGUUGAACAAAACUGUAGUUCACAAUAUACCUGGAUUUGACAGCAUAAAAGAAACCAAUAUGCAGGAUGGUAGUGUACAGAUCAUUAAAGAUCAUGUGACCAAUUGUGCAUUCAGUUUUCAGAAUUCUUUGCUAUAUGAUUUGGAUUAAUUCUAUAUAAUUUUGAAAUUUAAAUAUUAAGGUUAAAGAAUGCCUGUAUCUAAAAUUCAUUUGUAAAAAGUUUUUUUAAAUUGCAAUUUUGAUUCUCAUGGGGUAAACUGGCAAUUUUUUUUUUGCUUCUGGAGUUUAAAGAGUCCUUAUAGAUAUAAGUUUUGUGAUUCUUGUAAUGGAUGUGUAUAUUUUGUAUUGGAGAGUUAAACAUGUAGUUUUAAUACAACCUCUCUCUAUAUAUAUGUGUGUGUGUGUGUGUAUAUAUAU